AUUAGGAGGUUUCUUCUUUGUUUCGGUAGCGCGUGCACUCAGUGCUUCUUGUAGCGCCGCUUCCAACAUAUAUCCAUCAUAUUCUCUUUGAAGAAAUUUAUUUUUCAUUUCACUGAGUGCACACGCUACCGAAACAAAGAAGAAACCUCCUAAU
Pelobates cultripes (western spadefoot toad) is the source of this 154-nucleotide non-coding RNA. The record is from the annotation of a GenBank genome assembly. NCBI's taxonomy places the organism in Eukaryota, Metazoa, Chordata, Amphibia, Anura, Pelobatidae.